This 442-nucleotide long non-coding RNA is filed under the name Capsicum annuum. RNAcentral's name for it is "long non-coding RNA (CANN_LNC021048)". The record is from RNAcentral. Lineage: Eukaryota; Viridiplantae; Streptophyta; Magnoliopsida; Solanales; Solanaceae.
GAGUAAAGAAUAUCUAUUUUUAGGUAAUACAACUAAAAAAUAGACUAGGGAAAUUUAGAAUAUUGAUUUUAGGGCUUGUUCAGGAAAAGGCCACUCAAUAUUGUUGGGAAUAAAUCCCGCCGCCAUACAAAUAUUGUGGUUAUAAAAAGCAAUAGUUAUGACAACAGUAAUACGUGUAAUCAACAAGAACAACAAGAGCAAUAAUGACACCAAGAUUUUUACGUGGACCCAAUGAGGGAAAAACCACUGGCCAAGAGGAGCAACUGAUAUUUCUGUAGUAAGGAAUUUUACACCAUAGUCACAAUUACAAUACUCAAAGUAACUACAACACACUCAAAAGAAAUCUCUCUUUUGAUUUUUCCACCUCACUACAAUAGCGCUCACAAUCUUUAUUUUUCCUAAACUCUCUUUGAUGCCUCACUCUAUUUUUCUUUCACUUUUU